RNAcentral lists this ribosomal RNA (566 nucleotides) under uncultured fungus. Its description in RNAcentral is "eukaryotic LSU rRNA". The stretch from base 216 to 369 matches the Rfam family "5.8S ribosomal RNA". The record is from RNAcentral. Lineage: Eukaryota; Fungi.
CGCCUUUGGAGCUUGCUCCUCGGGGCUACCCGACUCCGGUCGGGUUUAGAGUCGUUAGGCCUCUCAGAGAAGCCUAGUCCUAAACUCCACCCUUGAAUAAAUUACCUUUGUUGCUUUGGCGGGCCGCCCUGUGCCAGCGGCUUCGGCUGUUGAGUGCCCGCCAGAGAACCACAACUCUUGUUUUUAGUGAUGUCUGAGUACUAUAUAAUAGUUAAAACUUUCAACAACGGAUCUCUUGGUUCUGGCAUCGAUGAAGAACGCAGCGAAAUGCGAUAAGUAAUGUGAAUUGCAGAAUUCAGUGAAUCAUCGAAUCUUUGAACGCACAUUGCGCCCCCUGGUAUUCCGGGGGGCAUGCCUGUUCGAGCGUCAUUAUAACCACUCAAGCUCUCGCUUGGUAUUGGGGUUCGCGGCUCCGCGGCCCCUAAAAUCAGUGGCGGCGCCUGUCGGCUCUACGCGUAGUAAUACUCCUCGCGAUUGAGACCGGUGGGUGUACUUGCCAGCAACCCUUAAUCUUUUACAGGUUGACCUCGGAUCAGGUAGGGAUACCCGCUGAACUUAAGCAUAUC